UGGGGAGCAAACAGGAUUAGAUACCCUGGUAGUCCACGCCGUAAACGAUGUCGACUUGGAGGUUGUGCCCUUGAGGCGUGGCUUCCGGAGCUAACGCGUUAAGUCGACCGCCUGGGGAGUACGGCCGCAAGGUUAAAACUCAAAUGAAUUGACGGGGGCCCGCACAAGCGGUGGAGCAUGUGGUUUAAUUCGAUGCAACGCGAAGAACCUUACCUGGUCUUGACAUCCACGGAAGUUUCCAGAGAUGGGAAUGUGCCUUCGGGAACCGUGAGACAGGUGCUGCAUGGCUGUCGUCAGCUCGUGUUGUGAAAUGUUGGGUUAAGUCCCGCAACGAGCGCAACCCUUAUCCUUUGUUGCCAGCGGUCCGGCCGGGAACUCAAAGGAGACUGCCAGUGAUAAACUGGAGGAAGGUGGGGAUGACGUCAAGUCAUCAUGGCCCUUACGACCAGGGCUACACACGUGCUACAAUGGCGCAUACAAAGAGAAGCGACCUCGCGAGAGCAAGCGGACCUCAUAAAGUGCGUCGUAGUCCGGAUUGGAGUCUGCAACUCGACUCCAUGAAGUCGGAAUCGCUAGUAAUCGUGGAUCAGAAUGCCACGGUGAAUACGUUCCCGGGCCUUGUACACACCGCCCGUCACACCAUGGGAGUGGGUUGCAAAAGAAGUAGGUAGCUUAACC
RNAcentral lists this ribosomal RNA (678 nucleotides) under Escherichia sp. Its description in RNAcentral is "bacterial SSU rRNA". It matches the Rfam family "Bacterial small subunit ribosomal RNA", at positions 762 to 1440 of the family's 1533-position model. Lineage: Bacteria; Pseudomonadati; Pseudomonadota; Gammaproteobacteria; Enterobacterales; Enterobacteriaceae. The record is from RNAcentral.